Molecule: long non-coding RNA, 1854 nt
Organism: Herpailurus yagouaroundi (jaguarundi)
Lineage: Eukaryota; Metazoa; Chordata; Mammalia; Carnivora; Felidae
Exons: 3
Source: RefSeq, a predicted model, not a curated record
GACCGCCCUGCAGAGCAGGGAGGCGGAGGGAGGCUGAGGCUCUCCUCCAGCAACAGGAGUCCCAGCCCCUUUCCGUGCUCCGAGUGCGAACACCCUCUCCCACUUCCCCCACAGCCCUCUUGCAAUUGACUCCUGGUGCUGAUGACUGCCCUGGGAAAUGUUAAAAUAAGAUGUGGUGGCUCUGGAAGGCAUGAGUCAGGGUUGGGCAGCAGCCAAAGCUGCCACCAGUCUCCCUUCCCCGGCUGCCGGCGGACUCUGGACAGGGAGCCGGCAGCCCCAGGAAGCAUUCGUGGUGGAGACCCAGAGGUGGCUGCCUCACUUCCCUCCCAAGCUUAGGGUCCUCUGUGCCCCUGCGUCCCAGGUGGGGCAAAAGCAGCUGCCACUGGCUGGCUGGAGCCCCAGCCCCGGGCCUACAGAGGGUCCCUCUUUUCUUCACCUCUAGCAAAUCACCUUCUCCCCUCUCUUCCUCUGGUUCCCUGCCAGCUCCCGGUCCCCUGGAAUGCUGGUUCCAAUCUGGCUUCCAAAUCUCCUUUCAGCCAGACACCGGCCCUCACAUCACCUCCCCUCCUGCUCGGCUGCCCUCAUUCUUUGGAUCCCUAGGCUGACACUCCCGCCGGCCCUUCACCUUCCCUUACUGAUCCCAGAACGAGGGACGGAGCGAGCACCUCCACGCUACAAAUCCAGCCCCGUGUCCUGCAGAUGCAGCGGUCCUGGAUGCAGGUUUGGGGGAGUCCAGCGGGGAGGCCCCUGGGCCAGCAGAGCCCCCCAGAGACGCCGGCCCCCCCCCCCCCCCCCCCGAGGCACUGGCCGGUGCCAGCACGUGGCUCGAGCCCCGCUUGUCCAGACCCGGAGCUCCUCACACCGCCUUCUCAGGGGCAGACGCACACCGCCCACGUCCAGUGGGGGUGACUCAGGCUGUACUUGGGCCCGGGCUCCGAGCCCAGCAUCGCCCCCACCCCCUCCGAGAAGAGACGGGUGAAGAGACCAGGCUCUUGGCCUCCAGAGCCUUGCCGCAAACCCCGGACCCGAGCGCGGCUUCCCAUCUACGAAGCGGAGGAAGGAACGCCCGCCUGGCGAGACCGUUGGCAACACUGGGUGCCAUAUUCACGCGACGCGUUCAGCAGAGUCUGAACUUCCCGGGAGAGGUCCCAACAGAAGGGUCUGUCGCUGAAACCGAGCUCAAAUUACUUGGGCUCAGAGGAAAGAACCAUAGGCUCUGCUGGCUGGAAGGAACCCCAGAGGUUCAUCGAUGGCAAGCUCCAGUCUCUAAAUUCAGCUCACUCCAGAAAUAACAGCCUCUACCCACUCCCAAGCGUGGGAAGAGUUCGGGAACAGCAUUUCUGAAACUUCAAGAUUCUGCAAGCCUCUUCCCCAGGUAUCACAACAUCCCCGUCUCUCCUCGGGCUCCCAGACCCACCUGGAAGCUGGGCCCAGAGCUGAGCCAGCAGGGUUGAAUAAUCCUCCCUCCAACACGUCACACCCAGCAGCACUCUUGUGCAGUGCUCUUUCCUGUUCAUCACUUGAGUGCCUGGCAAGGCGAUUCAAAACCUGGGGCCAGAUGUUUACACUGGCAUAUAGAGGAUUCCAGCCCAGGGAAAGCCUGUGCAGGAUGGCCCAUGGGCCCCUCAUAAUCUGACUGUGGAAGUUCUUUUGAAAAGGGAGGCACCUGCCUAGGUCUUUGCAGCCUGUCCCUUGAAGCCACCUGUUCUAAGGUCAUAGCCACUUCACUCCAAACUUCCAAUUCUAAAGCCCGCUGCCCUAACAUGCACCCCAAUGUUUAAAGCAGCACUAAUGACAACAGCCAAAGUAUGGAAAGAACCCAAAUGUCCACCGACUGAUGAAUGAAUAAAAAGA